CCGGUGAGCGAAGAAGGCCCUAUGGGUUGUAAAGCUCUGUCAGAUUGGGAAGAAAGCUCCGAGGUUAAUACCCUCGGAGUGUGACGGUACCAUCAGAGGAAGCACCGGCUAACUCCGUGCCAGCAGCCGCGGUAAUACGGAGGGUGCAAGCGUUGUUCGGAUUCACUGGGUAUAAAGGGUGCGCAGGCGGCCGUGUAAGUCAGAGGUGAAAUAUGACGGCUCAACCGUCAAACUGCCUCUGAGACUGCUCGGCUUGAGUCCGGGAGAGGAAGGUGGAAUUCCUGGUGUAGCGGUGAAAUGCGUAAAUAUCAGGAGGAACACCGGUGGCGAAGGCGGCCUUCUGGCCCGGUACUGACGCUCAUGCACGAAAGCCAGGGGAGCGAACGGGAUUAGAUACCCCGGUAGUCCUGGCCGUAAACGAUGGGCACUAGGUGUUGGAGGAGUCUACCCCUUCAGUGCCGCAGCUAAUGCAUUAAGUGCCCCACCUGGGGAGUACGAUCGCAAGGUUG
RNAcentral lists this ribosomal RNA (509 nucleotides) under uncultured Latescibacterota bacterium. Its description in RNAcentral is "bacterial SSU rRNA". It matches the Rfam family "Bacterial small subunit ribosomal RNA", at positions 398 to 896 of the family's 1533-position model. The record is from RNAcentral. Lineage: Bacteria; Pseudomonadati; Candidatus Latescibacterota.